GAUGAACGCUGGCGGCGUGCCUAAUACAUGCAAGUCGAGCGAACGGACGAGAAGCUUGCUUCUCUGAUGUUAGCGGCGGACGGGUGAGUAACACGUGGAUAACCUACCUAUAAGACUGGGAUAACUUCGGGAAACCGGAGCUAAUACCGGAUAAUAUUUUGAACCGCAUGGUUCAAAAGUGAAAGACGGUCUUGCUGUCACUUAUAGAUGGAUCCGCGCUGCAUUAGCUAGUUGGUAAGGUAACGGCUUACCAAGGCAACGAUGCAUAGCCGACCUGAGAGGGUGAUCGGCCACACUGGAACUGAGACACGGUCCAGACUCCUACGGGAGGCAGCAGUAGGGAAUCUUCCGCAAUGGGCGAAAGCCUGACGGAGCAACGCCGCGUGAGUGAUGAAGGUCUUCGGAUCGUAAAACUCUGUUAUUAGGGAAGAACAUAUGUGUAAGUAACUGGGCACAUCUUGACGGUACCUAAUCAGAAAGCCACGGCUAACUACGGGC
This 498-nucleotide ribosomal RNA is filed under the name uncultured bacterium. RNAcentral's name for it is "partial 16S ribosomal RNA". It matches the Rfam family "Bacterial small subunit ribosomal RNA", at positions 28 to 508 of the family's 1533-position model. The record is from RNAcentral.